UCUCUCCAUUGCUAAAACCCUAAUCUAUAUCGAUCAUCUCUCUUUGAUCAUGACCCAGAUCUGUAUUCAACCACUGAUCUCAACAAGAUCGAUCUGUGGACUGAUCUCUGCAAGUUUCAGUACGCCUCAACUAUUCCAGAUUGUACGAUCAGCCUGUUCCAGUCCGUGAUCAAACUGUUCCAUAUCUACGAGUUCUUUGACUGCAAGUACCAGCUCGCGUACCAAUGAUCCCGAUCAGCUCAACCUAAGCUGAUCUCUAUCUGAAUCUCCAUCUCUCUCUCUCUCUCUCUCUCUCUCUAUCGAUAAACCCUAAU
This 314-nucleotide long non-coding RNA is filed under the name Brassica napus (rape). Its description in RNAcentral is "long non-coding RNA (BNAP_LNC010949)". Lineage: Eukaryota; Viridiplantae; Streptophyta; Magnoliopsida; Brassicales; Brassicaceae. The record is from RNAcentral.